GUGAAUCAUCGAAUCUUUGAACGCACAUUGCGCCCUUUGGCAUUCCGAAGGGCAUGCCUGUUCGAGCGUCAUUAUCACCCCUCAAGCCCCCUUGGCUUGGUGUUGGACGGUUUUGGUGGGACGUGCAGCCUCUCACCCCUCCUAAAGACAAUGACGGCGGCGUCGUUUGGACCCUCGGUACACUGAGCUUCUUAACUGAGCACGUACUGGAUGCGGGUACGCGACGCACGGUCUGCCUCCCCUUUAGGGAGAACUUUUUCUUAAGGUUGACCUCGGAUCAGGUAGGAAUACCCGCUGAAC
Molecule: unclassified non-coding RNA, 300 nt
Filed under: uncultured Herpotrichiellaceae
Lineage: Eukaryota; Fungi; Ascomycota; Eurotiomycetes; Chaetothyriales; Herpotrichiellaceae
Description: sequence contains 5.8S rRNA gene, ITS2
Rfam family: 5.8S ribosomal RNA (bases 1-71)
Source: RNAcentral